Molecule: ribosomal RNA, 252 nt
Filed under: uncultured bacterium
Lineage: Bacteria
Description: partial 16S ribosomal RNA
Rfam family: Bacterial small subunit ribosomal RNA
Source: RNAcentral
GCAAGUCGAGGGGCAGCAUUAUCUGCUUGCAGAUAGAUGGCGACCGGCGCACGGGUGCGUAACGCGUAUGCAACUUACCCCUAACAGAGAGAUAGCCCCGGGAAAUCGGGAUUAUACCUCAUAAUAUUUAUUUAUGGCAUCAUAGAUAUUUUAAAGUUUCGACGGUUAGGGAUGGGCAUGCGUCCUAUUAGUUAGUUGGUAAGGUAACGGCUUACCAAGACAUCGAUAGGUAGGGGGCCUGAGAGGGUGAUC